Molecule: long non-coding RNA, 632 nt
Filed under: Helianthus annuus (common sunflower)
Lineage: Eukaryota; Viridiplantae; Streptophyta; Magnoliopsida; Asterales; Asteraceae
Description: hypothetical non coding rna
Source: RNAcentral
UCACCACCCUUCACCACCAUCUCGUUUUUAUAGAUCCGGUGCACCUCCGGCCGGUUGCCGGUCGUCUAUCUUACCAGUCAAACACCCACCCCCAUACACCCACACCCCUCGUCUCUAUCUGAUUCGGCUCCGACGACCGGAGAUCGGGGAUUCCGGCCAGCUCCACCAACUUCUCCGGCCGACCACACCCACACCUGCAACAUUACUCACCCACCACACUGCAAAUUCAACAAAUUUUUUUCGAAUCUUCACAGUAUGAGCAAUUCAAGACUCUAAAGAUCUCCACUUUAACAACAAUAUCAUGAAACAGAUAGAUUUGUGGAAGGAUAGACGAGAGAGACACGGGAGAAAAAGGGGUGCCGGCCGUGCCAGCGGCGACACACGACAGCGGACACGAUUGGAAUAAUUGGGGGAAUUUGGGGCAGAUUUGAAAGUAUCUUCAGCAUCUUCAACAGUAAUAUCCUGUUGACUAACAGUGUUUGAAGUUGAUUCCUUUGAUCCUUCAGCCAUUUGUGUGAGAUGCAGAUUGGGGUGAAAGAUAAACGGAAGCUUUUGAUUUUGGGAAGAAACAGUUUGAAGUGAAAAUGAGUGAAUCUAUGUUGCAGAUGAUGAUGAUGACAGGGACAGGGUGA